CAGCAACGGAUCUCUUGGCUCUCGCAUCGAUGAAGAACGCAGCGAAUUGCGAUAAGUAAUGUGAAUUGCAGAUUUUCAGUGAAUCAUCGAAUCUUUGAACGCACCUUGCGCUCCUUGGUAUUCCGAGGAGCAUGCCUGUUUGAGUGUCAUU
RNAcentral lists this ribosomal RNA (151 nucleotides) under Paxillus involutus. Its description in RNAcentral is "5.8S ribosomal RNA". It matches the Rfam family "5.8S ribosomal RNA". Rfam says of the family: 5.8S ribosomal RNA (5.8S rRNA) is a component of the large subunit of the eukaryotic ribosome. It is transcribed by RNA polymerase I as part of the 45S precursor that also contains 18S and 28S rRNA. Lineage: Eukaryota; Fungi; Basidiomycota; Agaricomycetes; Boletales; Paxillaceae. The record is from RNAcentral. RNAcentral also lists the same sequence under 3 other names.